RNAcentral lists this ribosomal RNA (777 nucleotides) under Triticum aestivum (bread wheat). RNAcentral's name for it is "partial small subunit ribosomal RNA". Lineage: Eukaryota; Viridiplantae; Streptophyta; Magnoliopsida; Poales; Poaceae. The record is from RNAcentral.
AUGAGGGAGAAAUAUUGGGAAAGGGCAAAGCUGUGGCAUCCAGGCAGGGAAUUCAGGAACAAAAUAACUAACUUGAAGGGCUUGUACAAUGAUUGGGUAUGGUUGCAGCAGCAAACCGUCUGCGGCCGCGGCUUAGAUGGCGAAGUGACGGCAACUGCAGAUUGGUGGGAGAAAGAAAUCAAGGACAGACCAAAUCUCAAGAAAUUUAGAAAUGGUAACCCUGAGUAUAUGCCCCUGUUACAUGAGAUAUUUCAUGAGGUCGUUGUGGAUGGUUCAUCUGCUUAUGUUCCUGGGACAGAAGAUUGUUUGGAGUUAAAUAAUGAUGAUGACCUGGAUGGCAAUGAAGGCUUUGUGUCCAGCCCUAUGAGUACCAACACUCAAAAGAGAGGGAGCCGCUCAGAGUUAAGGAGUACAGCUAGUAGUCCUUCAAAGAGAAGCAAAACUUUAGACAACAUGCCUCGUACUCAAGGCAAAACUCGGGGUCCAUUUGUAAAAUAUAUGAAGGACAUAGAAACUAAGUUGGAGAAGGAAAGUGAGAAAACAGACUCUAUUUUGCAGGCUCUUGUGAACCAAGGCAAUGAAAAGGUUAGGAGAAGUGAGGAACGUGCUCAGUCAGUAAAAAACUGUCAGAACCUUGCCAUUGUUGCUUGUGAUUUAUUCAAGGAGAAACACAACAGAACUGUCUUCCAGAACAUGAAGACCCCUGAAGCUAGGUUGAUAUGGUUGAAGAGAUGGUGUAGGGCAAAGAACAUGUAUGCAACAGAUGGCGAGAUAUGA